This 160-nucleotide ribosomal RNA is filed under the name Macrococcus lamae. RNAcentral's name for it is "partial 16S ribosomal RNA". It matches the Rfam family "Bacterial small subunit ribosomal RNA", at positions 1383 to 1533 of the family's 1533-position model. The record is from RNAcentral. Lineage: Bacteria; Bacillati; Bacillota; Bacilli; Caryophanales; Staphylococcaceae.
GUACACACCGCCCGUCACACCAUGAGAGCUGGUAACACCCGAAGUCCGUGAGGUAACCGUAAGGAGCCAGCGGCCGAAGGUGGUAUUAGUGAUUGGGGUGAAGUCGUAACAAGGUAGCCGUAGGAGAACCUGCGGCUGGAUCACCUCCUUUCUAAGGAGA